This is a transfer RNA of 87 nucleotides. It matches the Rfam family "tRNA". Rfam says of the family: Transfer RNA (tRNA) molecules are approximately 80 nucleotides in length. Their secondary structure includes four short double-helical elements and three loops (D, anti-codon, and T loops). Further hydrogen bonds mediate the characteristic L-shaped molecular structure. tRNAs have two regions of fundamental functional importance: the anti-codon, which is responsible for specific mRNA codon recognition, and the 3' end, to which the tRNAs corresponding amino acid is attached (by aminoacyl-tRNA synthetases). tRNAs cope with the degeneracy of the genetic code in two manners: having more than one tRNA (with a specific anti-codon) for a particular amino acid; and 'wobble' base-pairing, i.e. permitting non-standard base-pairing at the 3rd anti-codon position.
GGAGAGUUGGCAGAGCGGUCGAUUGCGGCGGUCUUGAAAACCGUUGAUGGGGCAACUCAUCCGGGGGUUCGAAUCCCUCACUCUCCG